GACGAACGCUGGCGGCGUGCUUAACACAUGCAAGUCGAACGGAAAGGCCCGGCGUUUGUGGGGUGCUCGAGUGGCGAACGGGGGAGUAACACGUGAGUAACCUGCCCUUGACUUUGGGAUAACUUCAGGAAACUGGGGCGAAUACAGGAUAGGAGCUCCUGCUGCGUGGGGGGGGUUGGAAAGAUUCGGCGGUUUUGGCUGGACUCGCGGCUUAUCAGCUUGUUGGUGGGGUAGUGGCGUACAACGGCUUUGACGGGUAGCCGGCCUGGGAGGGUGACCGGCCACCUUGGGACUGCGGUACGGCCCAGACUCCUACGGGACGCAGCAGUGGGGAAUAUUGCACAAUGGGCGGAAGCCUGAUGCAGCAACGCCGCGUGCGGGAUGCCGGCCUUCGGGUUGUAAACCGCUUUCUCCUGUGACGAAGCGUGAGUGACGGUACUGGGUAAAGAAGCACCGGCUAACUACGUG
RNAcentral lists this ribosomal RNA (468 nucleotides) under uncultured bacterium. Its description in RNAcentral is "partial 16S ribosomal RNA". It matches the Rfam family "Bacterial small subunit ribosomal RNA", at positions 28 to 507 of the family's 1533-position model. The record is from RNAcentral.